RNAcentral lists this transfer RNA (93 nucleotides) under Heterobasidion irregulare TC 32-1. It matches the Rfam family "tRNA". Rfam says of the family: Transfer RNA (tRNA) molecules are approximately 80 nucleotides in length. Their secondary structure includes four short double-helical elements and three loops (D, anti-codon, and T loops). Further hydrogen bonds mediate the characteristic L-shaped molecular structure. tRNAs have two regions of fundamental functional importance: the anti-codon, which is responsible for specific mRNA codon recognition, and the 3' end, to which the tRNAs corresponding amino acid is attached (by aminoacyl-tRNA synthetases). tRNAs cope with the degeneracy of the genetic code in two manners: having more than one tRNA (with a specific anti-codon) for a particular amino acid; and 'wobble' base-pairing, i.e. permitting non-standard base-pairing at the 3rd anti-codon position. Lineage: Eukaryota; Fungi; Basidiomycota; Agaricomycetes; Russulales; Bondarzewiaceae. The record is from Rfam by way of RNAcentral.
GACUCAAUAGCUCAGUGGUUAGAGCAUGCGAUUGCAGUGCCUUGAAAGGGCGUUAUAAUCGCAGGGUCUCGUGUUCAAAUCACGAUUGGGUCU